Non-coding RNA from Vicia faba (fava bean), 291 nucleotides. Lineage: Eukaryota; Viridiplantae; Streptophyta; Magnoliopsida; Fabales; Fabaceae. The record is from the annotation of a GenBank genome assembly.
AUGAUCUCACGGCGAAGCCUUAGGGGAAAUGAUCGGGGAGGUUUGCUUUAUGCAGUGGUAUCAAGAUAUUGGAGAAACGAAAAAGUUUUCACAUACCUCCCGACGGCGAUAGAGACGGAGGUGUGCUAUAAUGAAGGUUUCAACGUUCAGAUCGAUCCUCUUGAUAGUGGGAUUGAGAAGUCAUUGGAAAACUGGAAUAUCAUUGAAUCAAGAAGAAGUUUGGCCUUGAAGAAUGAAAAUUUAAUCAAGAGGAUAAAAGUCAGGGGCAUGAAGACCAUGGAAGAAUCAUGA